GUAUAAUUAGUUUGUUAGCAUGCUAAAAUAGCAUUAUCGAGAUAAUAUCGUUAGCGAAAUAUGGAUGAAGUUUAAUAUAUGGAUGAAAUGAUAUGGGGUACAAACCAACUUAAUAUGUUAAUAAUAUAUUUGACGAUAUAAACAAAUUCUCAGUGAUUGAACCAAUGAUUAGAUUUCAAAGACUGAUAUAUAUGAGAAGACGAUAACAUUAUUAUUAAAAAGUAACAAAAUAUUUAGCAUGAAGAGCAAAAAACUUGACUCGCGACCGAAUAAUCAUGUAAAAAAAUACAUGCAUCAAAAUAGUUAGCAAAUAACAUAUUAUCAAGAUAACAUGAUAACAAAUAUCUCGGUAAUAUUUAUUAGGUUAACAUGA
This 373-nucleotide small RNA is filed under the name Arabidopsis thaliana (thale cress). RNAcentral describes it as "ATSL061520". The record is from RNAcentral. Lineage: Eukaryota; Viridiplantae; Streptophyta; Magnoliopsida; Brassicales; Brassicaceae.